RNAcentral lists this ribosomal RNA (406 nucleotides) under uncultured bacterium. RNAcentral's name for it is "partial 16S ribosomal RNA". It matches the Rfam family "Bacterial small subunit ribosomal RNA", at positions 29 to 526 of the family's 1533-position model. The record is from RNAcentral.
AUUGAACGCUGGCGGCAGGCCUAACACAUGCAAGUCGAGCGAGCGGCGGACGGGUGAGUAAUGUCUGGGAAACUGUCUGAUGGAGGGUGAUAACUCCUGGAGACGGUAGCUAAUACCGCAUAUCAUCAGAGGUGUCCCGAAGGGAUUAGCUGGUAGGUGGGGUAACGGGUCACCGAGGCGACGAUCCCUAUCUGGUCUGAGAGGAUGACCAGCCACACUGGAACUGAGACACGGUCCAGACGACUACGGGAGGCAGCCGUGGGGAAUAGUGCACAAUGGGCGCAAGCCGGAUGCAGCAAUGCCGCGUGGGUGAAGAAGGCCUUCGGGUUGUAAAGCACUUUCAGCGGGGAGGCGUUACCCGCAGAAGAAGCACCGGCUAACUCCGUGCCAGCAGCCGCGGUAAUUC